Molecule: non-coding RNA, 29 nt
Filed under: Mus musculus (house mouse)
Lineage: Eukaryota; Metazoa; Chordata; Mammalia; Rodentia; Muridae
Source: RNAcentral
UGAGCAACUAACCAGAGCUUCUCGUGAGA